AAAGAAACUAACAAGGAUUCCCCUAGUAACGGCGAGUGAAGAGGGAAGAGCUCAAAUUUUAAAUCUGCCUUGUUUCAAGGUCGAGUUGUAAUUUGAAGAAGCGUUUUCUUGGGCUCGCGGCCGGUAGAAGUUCUUUGGAACAGGACAUCAUAGAGGGUGAAAAUCCCGUCUGCGACCGGUCGUGUGUUCAUCUACGAUACGCUUUCAAAGAGUCGAGUUGUUUGGGAUUGCAGCUCCAAAUGGGUGGUAAACAUCACCUAAGGCUAAAUAUUGGCGAGAGACCGAUAGCGAACAAGUACCGUGAGGGGAAGAUGAAAAGAACUUUGAAAAGAGAGUUAAACAGUACGUGAAAUUGUUGAAAGGGAAACGAUUGAAGUCAGUCGUGCUGGCGCGAAAUCAACCCUCUCGUCGAGAGGACACAUGGCGUGGCGAGCCUCAAAACCGUCACGAAGCGUGAACUCUUGGCGAAAAGGAGCACUUUCGUGUCCGCUGGUUAACAUCAGUUUCGAACGUCAUAAAAAGGCUGGAGGGAUGUGGCUCCUUCGGGAGUGUUAUAACCUUUAGCGGAAUGUGGUGGUCGGGAUUGAGGAUUGCAACGAAUACCUUUAGGGCUGUUCCACCUGGCCUCUCUUUGGUAUCCUGGUGACGACAGCUUGCUGACGUUGUUAGGAUUCGCCAUUGAACAGGCUAGAGUGUGAGCAAAUUCGUUAAGGAUGUUG
This 719-nucleotide ribosomal RNA is filed under the name Entrophospora claroidea. RNAcentral describes it as "partial 25S ribosomal RNA". It matches the Rfam family "Eukaryotic large subunit ribosomal RNA", at positions 58 to 628 of the family's 3401-position model. The record is from RNAcentral. Lineage: Eukaryota; Fungi; Glomeromycota; Glomeromycetes; Entrophosporales; Entrophosporaceae.